UACUUCAGAGUGAAUUUUUAUAAUGAAUUU
This 30-nucleotide non-coding RNA is filed under the name Mus musculus (house mouse). Lineage: Eukaryota; Metazoa; Chordata; Mammalia; Rodentia; Muridae. The record is from RNAcentral.